This 573-nucleotide long non-coding RNA is filed under the name Cyanistes caeruleus (blue tit). RNAcentral's name for it is "lncRNA (ENSCCEG00000016571.1)". Lineage: Eukaryota; Metazoa; Chordata; Aves; Passeriformes; Paridae. The record is from RNAcentral.
GAAUAUUGAAUAAUAUGGGUGGUUUAUUGUAGAGUUUUUUCCAAUAGGGGGCACACAAAGCACAAGAACAGCUAAAACCUCGACAAAAUCCUUCACUACUUGAACCAGAGCCCAGAAAAACACAUCUGAGGAACCUUCUGUGUUUAGCAGGGACUAUUAUAACGUUCACAGAGAUUUCUCUGGGUGUCUGCAGGUGUCUUUACUUUGGUGGAUUUAAUGAUUGCUUUCUCUACUUAAGUCCUCUGAAGAGAAAAUGCUAAUUAGUGGGACGCUGGUGGAAGCAAGACAUAUGCCCAGAACCAGGUGGAAGGUAUGUGAAAAGUAUGGCUCAUGGAGUGCUCAUUUUCUUAUGGUAUUCUUCAGAGAUGUCUUAGUUUAGGGUAAAUUUGGGAGAAAAACUCCAAAUGGGGGUUUCUCCAGGGAGGGAAAAAAAAUUUAAAUUACCCCUCUCCCCCCCCAACUGGUCUGGGGAAAAAAAAUUCCUUGGAGAGAAGUGGAAAAAGCUGUUUAUUUAACAGAAAUUGAAUAAUAUUAAAUAAUAAAACCUCUCACUGUUCGAUGGGAUGGAAAAUC